GACGAACGCUGGCGGCGUGCUUAACACAUGCAAGUCGAACGGAAAGGCCCUGCUUUUGUGGGGUGCUCGAGUGGCGAACGGGUGAGUAACACGUGAGUAACCUGCCCUUGACUUUGGGAUAACUUCAGGAAACUGGGGCUAAUACCGGAUAGGAGCUCCUGCUGCAUGGUGGGGGUUGGAAAGUUUCGGCGGUUGGGGAUGGACUCGCGGCUUAUCAGCUUGUUGGUGGGGUAGUGGCUUACCAAGGCUUUGACGGGUAGCCGGCCUGAGAGGGGGACCGGCCACAUUGGGACUGAGAGACGGACCAGACGCCUACGGGAGGCAGAAGGGGGGAAUAUUGCACAAUGGGCGGAAGCCUGAUGCAGCAACGCCGCGUGCGGGAUGACGGCCUUCGGGUUGUAAACCGCUUUCGCCUGUGACGAAGCGUGAGUGACGGUAAUGGGUAAAGAAGCACCGGCUAACUACGUG
This 468-nucleotide ribosomal RNA is filed under the name uncultured bacterium. Its description in RNAcentral is "partial 16S ribosomal RNA". It matches the Rfam family "Bacterial small subunit ribosomal RNA", at positions 28 to 507 of the family's 1533-position model. The record is from RNAcentral.